GCAGUGUAGCGUAGUGGUAAAGUGCAACGCUCGCAACCCUAAGGUUGCUGGUUCAAUUCUCUGCUGGGGCACUGCA
This is a non-coding RNA of Megalops atlanticus (tarpon), 76 nucleotides long. The record is from the annotation of a GenBank genome assembly. NCBI's taxonomy places the organism in Eukaryota, Metazoa, Chordata, Actinopteri, Elopiformes, Megalopidae.